Molecule: long non-coding RNA, 1216 nt
Filed under: Pan troglodytes (chimpanzee)
Lineage: Eukaryota; Metazoa; Chordata; Mammalia; Primates; Hominidae
Description: long non-coding RNA NONPTRT014228
Source: RNAcentral
CCGCACGCCCCGGCCCCGCGCACCUCCGCCCGGCUCCGCAGCCGCUACCCGCGCUUCGUUGCCCUGUGGGACUCCGAGCGAGCCCAGAGGGAACCCUCCUCUUCUUCUGGGGGCGACUUUUGUUUGCUUGCCUGUUUCUUUCUGGUGACUUUUGCAGCUUUCCAAUAUCCGUCUCCGGAGCGCACGGGAAUCCGCCGAGCUCUGCGUGCAGGCCCUUUUUUCUUUUGAGGUUCACAGUUUUUGAAAUUUUACGCCAGGGCUUUUGUAAUUUCCUCCCCCGCCCGCUGGCGGUCCUGGAGUCGCUCGGGGCUUUAGGCCGGUUAUGCAACGUGUACCGCUCGGGGCUGCCGGCUGCACCUCCGCCGCGCCUCGCCGCUCACUGCGCUAGACCCGGCGCCCCGCGUCUCGCUUCGCGGGCAGUCAGGGGGCCGGCGCUCUGUCGAGGUCUCCAGCUAGAGCAGGGAGCCCGAGCCCGAGGGAGUCCCCGGAGCCGACGAAGGGCUUAUUAGACCCUGACUCUUUUCUGAGGCGCGCAGAUUUUGUCUUUGAUCACUCCCUCUCCGCGGGUCUACGGCCGCGCGCUUUCGGCGCCGGCAAUGGGGAGAAGACGGAGGCUGUGUCUCCAGCUCUACUUCCUGUGGCUGGUCUGUGUGGUGCUCUGGGCGCAGGGCACGGCCGGCCAGCCUCAGCCUCCUCCGCCCAAGCCGCCCCGGCCCCAGCCGCCGCCGCAACAGGUUCGGUCCGCUACAGCAGGCUCUGAAGGCGGGUUUCUAGCGCCCGAGUAUCGCGAGGAGGGUGCCGCAGUGGCCAGCCGCGUCCGCCGGCGAGGACAGCAGGACGUGCUCCGAGGGCCCAACGUGUGCGGCUCCAGAUUCCACUCCUACUGCUGCCCUGGAUGGAAGACGCUCCCUGGAGGAAACCAGUGCAUUGUCCCUGUCUGUGAAAAUGGAUGUCAGAAUGGUGGACGUUGCAUCGGACCCAACCGCUGUGCUUGUGUUUAUGGGUUCACUGGUCCACAGUGUGAAAGAGAUUACAGGACAGGCCCGUGUUUCACUCAGGUCAACAACCAGAUGUGCCAAGGGCAGCUGACAGGCAUUGUCUGCACGAAGACUCUGUGCUGUGCCACCAUUGGACGGGCGUGGGGCCAUCCCUGUGAGAUGUGUCCAGCCCAGCCUCAGCCCUGCCGACGGGGUUUCAUCCCCAACAUCCGCACUGG